CGUGCUUAACACAUGCAAGUCGAACGAUGAAGGAGGAGCUUGCUCUUCUGGAUUAGUGGCGAACGGGUGAGUAACACGUGAGCAAUCUGCCCUUGACUCUGGGAUAAGCGUUGGAAACGACGUCUAAUACCGGAUACGACCCUCGGAGGCAUCUCCUGGGGGUGGAAAGAAUUUUGGUCAAGGAUGAGCUCGCGGCCUAUCAGCUUGUUGGUGAGGUAAUGGCUCACCAAGGCGACGACGGGUAGCCGGCCUGAGAGGGUGACCGGCCACACUGGGACUGAGACACGGCCCAGACUCCUACGGGAGGCAGCAGUGGGGAAUAUUGCACAAUGGGCGAAAGCCUGAUGCAGCAACGCCGCGUGAGGGACGACGGCCUUCGGGUUGUAAACCUCUUUUAGUAGGGAAGAAGCGAAAGUGACGGUACCUGCAGAAAAAGCACCGGCUAACUACGUGCCAGCAGCCGCGGUAAUACGUAGGGUGCAAGCGUUGUCCGGAAUUAUUGGGCGUAAAGAGCUCGUAGGCGGUUUGUCGCGUCUGCUGUGAAAACCCGAGGCUCAACCUCGGGCCUGCAGUGGGUACGGGCAGACUAGAGUGCGGUAGGGGAGAUUGGAAUUCCUGGUGUAGCGGUGGAAUGCGCAGAUAUCAGGAGGAACACCGAUGGCGAAGGCAGAUCUCUGGGCCGUAACUGACGCUGAGGAGCGAAAGCAUGGGGAGCGAACAGGAUUAGAUACCCUGGUAGUCCAUGCCGUAAACGUUGGGAACUAGAUGUG
RNAcentral lists this ribosomal RNA (770 nucleotides) under Microbacteriaceae bacterium. RNAcentral describes it as "bacterial SSU rRNA". It matches the Rfam family "Bacterial small subunit ribosomal RNA", at positions 43 to 824 of the family's 1533-position model. Lineage: Bacteria; Bacillati; Actinomycetota; Actinomycetes; Micrococcales; Microbacteriaceae. The record is from RNAcentral.